Mytilus trossulus (common blue mussel) is the source of this 436-nucleotide long non-coding RNA. RefSeq lists it as uncharacterized. The record is from RefSeq and is a predicted model, not a curated record. NCBI's taxonomy places the organism in Eukaryota, Metazoa, Mollusca, Bivalvia, Mytilida, Mytilidae. The transcript has 3 exons.
ACAUGAUUUAAUAUUGGCGGAGAAGAAAUGUCAAUAAAUUGAUUCAUCAUAAGUAAAGGGGCAUGCGUAUUGGCAAAGCAAUGUUAUAUUUAACAGCUGCUGUUACAUAAUAUUUUUUCUGACAAGGGGAAGGACGGCUGUAGAUAAGUAUGUUUGAUAUACGAAUUAUGCACUCGUCUGAAGAGGUUGAGAAAUAGGUUUUGUGUUGUUGUUUGAGAAAGACAUCGUUAGGUAAAUAGAAAUUUGACGAUGAUGAAUCUCAUUAAUCAAUAUGAAGAAAAAUCAAGGUGACAAAAGAAGACUGUGGUGAUCGUUAGAAAGAGUGAUGACAGGUCAACUUUAGUACCAUAAUGAAAUACGGCUCGUCAUUUUGGAAUACAGGAAAGGAAUCGAAAGCUUAAAUAAUGAAUAAAUUUUGUAAAUCCAUAUAAUUAAA